CUUACUAAAAAGUACAGCAUUUUACAUCAAUGAAUAAAUUAAAAUUACAAUGCAAUUUUCUGAAGAAAAGAAAUACUUAAAGACUCAA
Sinocyclocheilus rhinocerous is the source of this 88-nucleotide long non-coding RNA. RefSeq lists it as uncharacterized. The transcript is spliced from 3 exons. The record is from RefSeq and is a predicted model, not a curated record. Lineage: Eukaryota; Metazoa; Chordata; Actinopteri; Cypriniformes; Cyprinidae.